Xyrichtys novacula (pearly razorfish) is the source of this 768-nucleotide non-coding RNA. Lineage: Eukaryota; Metazoa; Chordata; Actinopteri; Labriformes; Labridae. The record is from the annotation of a GenBank genome assembly.
CCCCCCCUCCCAUCCCCCAUCCCCCAUGGCAGGAGAAACAGUCAAGUUUUUCCUGCCCAUCACUCAAUGGCUCAAUCGCAUCGCUCUCCCGGCAACACCGUAACGAGGAGCAACUUGCCGUUUGGCUAUAUCCUAGCUGUGUUUGUGCCCUCACUCAUGGGCCAGACUUUUUUCAAAUAGGACAUGUAGUUUGUCUGCAGCGAGUGUUUUGGUAGAAACUGCGCCUCCCAUUCAUUAUAAUGGGAAAUGACCACAGACAAGUGCGCACACCAUCUUUGGACCUUGAGUGUGACGCGAUCGGGAGGGGGAGGCGGUUGCACUGGGGGCGGCGCAACGCGGCUCGGGCCCGCCAGUGCCCCAACGGGGCCCUAGUUUCUUCUUUUUCCUCCCCUUUGAACUGGAAAAUGGCCCACUUCCCACUGGCGAAAACUCAUGAAAUUUGGCAGGACGACCGGGCCUGGUGAAAAAUUCGAUAUUCUGAAGUCGCCCAAACAAUAAAAUGCAAAAUGGCUCCAUAGCGCCCCCUAAGGUGGAAAUUCACACUAUUGACUGUCACGCCUGUACGCUUUGUCAUAUUGACACAAAAAUUGACAAACAUAUGUAUCUCAAUAAGAUCUACAAAAAAGUCAGUGCGGCCGUAUCUGUCAAAAUUACGGUUAAAGGGUUAUUUCGCAUUUUUUGCCGAUCCGCACACAUUGGAAUUUCGCUAACUCCUCCGAAGGCUUUCGUUCCACCGGCACCACAUUUGCUCAGGCCAAUCUACACCCC